Long non-coding RNA from Lytechinus variegatus (green sea urchin), 849 nucleotides. RefSeq lists it as uncharacterized. The transcript is spliced from 2 exons. NCBI's taxonomy places the organism in Eukaryota, Metazoa, Echinodermata, Echinoidea, Temnopleuroida, Toxopneustidae. The record is from RefSeq and is a predicted model, not a curated record.
UGAAAUAGGAUGAAUAAAUGAACAUAAAAAUACGAUAUAACUUAAAAGUAACAUGCAAUUAAAAUAUGAGGUAGGGCUCUAUUCAGUGCACAACUUUGCACAUUAUAACAAUCAACAAUGUAAAAUUACUGUCAGAGUGCCCCUGAAAUAUUCUAAUUACCUUUCCCUCUGCCUUGAAUUCUUGUUAUCCAUCUGAAAGGAGCUGCACUUGGUCUUACUAAUUGAUAUGCAAAUCAACUCCACCAUUUACUGUAGGUUGAGUGCACAGUUUGUAUAGUCAGUGGGGUGUGGAGCUAUGUUGGGUGAGUUGCAGAGGUCUACACAGAAAGCUGGGACCAUUUUUGGAUUUUUACAGAGGGAACACUCAGACCCUCACUGAGAUAGAUUUCUUCUAGUUUUAUUUUGCCAGCUUCAAGCUAUUUACUGGCAGUUGGUUAUUAUUUCUACAUUCCAGAAAUCAAGUGUGGCUCCUAUUUCAUGGAAAGACAGAUCCACGUCCGGUUCCAUGUCAUUCAUUCUGAAGGGGGCGCUGUAUUCACGCUAUUUAUUCUGAGUGAACUACUACGUGUCGUGAUCUACUUUGUGACCCCAAUCUGAGUGAGGGGGAGGUGAUACGAGCGUUCCAUUCUGGGUAACAUGGAUUCGUAGAGUCCAUCGAUGACGAUUAAGUGAUCAACCAUAACAACGAUCAACGUUUGUUCGAUGUCAGUAAGUCUUUUCGACUGGUAAGCGGAUUCGUUUCCAAGGACAUCUAUAUGCGCUACAUUUUUUGUUUACUCACUACUGAACUUAACUCGACGAGCAUUGCUCUGAUUCCGAAAUCGCAUAUGCCAAAGACAAUGAUUGAAC